RNAcentral lists this long non-coding RNA (342 nucleotides) under Phaseolus vulgaris (common bean). RNAcentral describes it as "long non-coding RNA (PVUL_LNC002590)". The record is from RNAcentral. Lineage: Eukaryota; Viridiplantae; Streptophyta; Magnoliopsida; Fabales; Fabaceae.
GUAAAAGCUGGAUUUUUAAUUACAUUAAACGGAAUGGCACUUGUGUAAAAAAAUUCAGCAACUUGAGCAUCCACUUCUUCUUUAUAACCUUUCUUCAUCAUUUGAUUUAUGGUAGCUUGAACUGCCCCCCUACUACCAACUUUUUCUUUUCCUUUAGAACCAAAUAUAUGUUGUCUUUCUUCAAGCCCCUCACAUCCUUGGUCUUCAUCAAUUAUAUUUAACUUUCUUUUUUUCAAAGAGGCUUGCUUAGCUUCUGCAACAAUUUUUAUCAUCAAAUCUCUUAUUUCUUCUGGAACAGAACAACAAGGUUCAGAGUCCUCCCUAGUUCCAGCAAGAUGAUGC